GCCCAGACUCCUACGGGAGGCAGCAGUGGGGAAUAUUGCACAAUGGGGGAAACCCUGAUGCAGCGACGCCGCGUGAAGGAAGAAGUAUUUCGGUAUGUAAACUUCUAUCAGCAGGGAAGAAAAUGACGGUACCUGACUAAGAAGCCCCGGCUAACUACGUGCCAGCAGCCGCGGUAAUACGUAGGGGGCAAGCGUUAUCCGGAUUUACUGGGUGUAAAGGGAGCGUAGACGGCAUGGCAAGUCAGAUGUGAAAGCCCGGGGCUCAACCCCGGGACUGCAUUUGAAACUGUCAGGCUGGAGUGCAGGAGAGGUAAGUGGAAUUCCUAGUGUAGCGGUGAAAUGCGUAGAUAUUAGGAGGAACACCAGUGGCGAAGGCGGCUUACUGGACUGUAACUGACGUUGAGGCUCGAAAGCGUGGGGAGCAAACAGGAUUAGAUACCCCGGUAGA
Molecule: ribosomal RNA, 448 nt
Filed under: uncultured bacterium
Lineage: Bacteria
Description: bacterial SSU rRNA
Rfam family: Bacterial small subunit ribosomal RNA
Source: RNAcentral